RNAcentral lists this ribosomal RNA (375 nucleotides) under uncultured bacterium. Its description in RNAcentral is "bacterial SSU rRNA". It matches the Rfam family "Bacterial small subunit ribosomal RNA", at positions 524 to 898 of the family's 1533-position model. The record is from RNAcentral.
UACAUAGGGGCCAAGCGUUGUCCGGAAUUACUGGGCGUAAAGGGCAUGUAGGCGGCCAUCUAAGUCAGAAUUAAAAGACAGAAGCUCAACUUCUGUAUGGUUCUGAGACUGGAUAGCUAGAGGUUGGGAGAGGGAAGUGGAAUUAACAGUGUAGCGGUGAAAUGCGUAGAUAUUGUUAAGAACACCCGUGGCGAAGGCGGCUUCCUGGACCAAACCUGACGCUGAGGUGCGAGAGCGUGGGUAGCAAACAGGAUUAGAUACCCUGGUAGUCCACGCUGUAAACGAUGUACAUUAGGUAUGGGAGGUAUCGACCCCUUCCGUGCCGAAGCUAACGCGUUAAAUGUACCGCCUGGGGAUUACGAUCGCAAGAUUAAA